This 281-nucleotide unclassified non-coding RNA is filed under the name uncultured Russula. RNAcentral's name for it is "sequence contains ITS2". The record is from RNAcentral. Lineage: Eukaryota; Fungi; Basidiomycota; Agaricomycetes; Russulales; Russulaceae.
AAUCAUCAAAACCCUUUUUCUUUGAUCCUCUUUUGGUCGGGAAAGGGAUUUUUGGACUUGGAGGUUUUAUGCUAGCUUUCAAGCUUUUGAAAGCGAGCUCCUCUCAAAAGAAUUAGUGGGGUCCGCUUUGCUGAUCCUCGACGUGAUAAAGAUGUUUCUACGUUUUGGUAUUCGGCACUGUCUUUUUGGACGUCUGCUUAUAACCGUCCCCCCGGACAUGAAGAUGGUGCUCCGGUCACUGCCAUCUAUAAUUGGUGAGAGGCUGGACCCACAAGAAAAAA